CUACGGGAGGCUGCAGUGGGGAAUAUUGGACAAUGGGCGAAAGCCUGAUCCAGCCAUGCCGCGUGUGUGAAGAAGGCCUUCGGGUUGUAAAGCACUUUCAGUGGGGAAGAAAGCCUUGGGGCUAAUACCCUCGAGGAAGGACAUCACCCACAGAAGAAGCACCGGCUAACUCCGUGCCAGCAGCCGCGGUAAUACGGAGGGUGCGAGCGUUAAUCGGAAUUACUGGGCGUAAAGCGCGCGUAGGCGGUCUGAUAAGCCGGUUGUGAAAGCCCCGGGCUCAACCUGGGAACGGCAUCCGGAACUGUCAGGCUAGAGUGCAGGAGAGGAAGGUAGAAUUCCCGGUGUAGCGGUGAAAUGCGUAGAGAUCGGGAGGAAUACCAGUGGCGAAGGCGGCCUUCUGGACUGACACUGACGCUGAGGUGCGAAAGCGUGGGUAGCAAACAGGAUUAGAUACCCGGGUAGUC
This 464-nucleotide ribosomal RNA is filed under the name Vreelandella stevensii. RNAcentral describes it as "partial 16S ribosomal RNA". It matches the Rfam family "Bacterial small subunit ribosomal RNA", at positions 339 to 795 of the family's 1533-position model. The record is from RNAcentral. Lineage: Bacteria; Pseudomonadati; Pseudomonadota; Gammaproteobacteria; Oceanospirillales; Halomonadaceae.